This 238-nucleotide ribosomal RNA is filed under the name uncultured bacterium. RNAcentral's name for it is "partial 16S ribosomal RNA". It matches the Rfam family "Bacterial small subunit ribosomal RNA", at positions 96 to 334 of the family's 1533-position model. The record is from RNAcentral.
CGGCGGGCGGGUGAGUAACGCGUGGGUAACCUACCCUGUACACACGGAUAACAUACCGAAAGGUAUGCUAAUACGGGAUAAUAUAUUUGAGAGGCAUCUCUUGAAUAUCAAAGGUGAGCCAGUACAGGAUGGACCCGCGUCUGAUUAGCUAGUUGGUAAGGUAACGGCUUACCAAGGCGACGAUCAGUAGCCGACCUGAGAGGGUGAUCGGCCACAUUGGAACUGAGACACGGUCCAA